Molecule: long non-coding RNA, 555 nt
Organism: Oncorhynchus tshawytscha (Chinook salmon)
Lineage: Eukaryota; Metazoa; Chordata; Actinopteri; Salmoniformes; Salmonidae
Source: Ensembl
UGGAGACAGAGAUACCCAGGUUAGAGAAGGGGAGUGGAGACAGAGAUACGCAGGCUAGAUAAGAGGAGUGGAGACAGAGAUAUGAGGAGUGGAGACAGAGAUAACCAGGAUAGAUAAGGGGAGUGGAGACAGAGAUACCCAGGUUAGAUAAGGGGAGUGGGGACAGAGAUACCCAGGUUAGAUAAGAGGAGUGGAGACAGAGAUACCCAGGCUAGAUAAGAGGAGUGGGGACAGAGAUACCCAGGUAAGAUAAGAGGAGUAGAGACAGAGAUACCCAGGCUAGAUAAGAGGAGUGGAGACAGAGAUACCCAGGCUAGAGAAGAGGAGUGGGGACAGUUAUACCCAGGUUAGAUAAGAGGAGUGGAGACAGAGAUACCCAGGCUAGAGAAGGGGAGUGGGGACAGAGAUACCCAGGCUAGAUAAUAGAUAAGGGAGCAGGGACAGAGAUACCCAGGCUGGAUAAUAGAUAAGGGAGCAGGGACAGGGAUACCCAGGCUAGAUAAUAGAUAAGGGAGCAGGGACAGGAUACCCAGGCUAGAUAAUAGAUAAGGGAGC